Octodon degus (degu) is the source of this 616-nucleotide long non-coding RNA. RefSeq lists it as uncharacterized. The transcript is spliced from 2 exons. The record is from RefSeq and is a predicted model, not a curated record. NCBI's taxonomy places the organism in Eukaryota, Metazoa, Chordata, Mammalia, Rodentia, Octodontidae.
GCAGCCUGCCUGAGGCCCGGCCUAUUCUCACAGCGCCCUUUUCUCGUGGGAGACACACACACACUUUCAAAACUGCUAUGCAGUUUCUCCUCUAAGGAAUGUAAGUACACAUGGGGUGAUAGGACGUGGGGAAAGAAAGAAGAUCCGAUCCUGGUCUGAAAACAUAGUGAGGUCGCAGCAGCCUUCCUCAAACCUUGACACAAGAAUUGGGGCAGAACCCAUGGUCCCCAAGCCUGGAGCAUCAGGCCCAUCAGGCCCUGCAGGACAGCAGCUGGGACUCUUCCCGCUCAGAUCAUCCUGCUGCUUCCUAGCUGUGUGUCCUAAAGUAAAUUAUCUCCCUCCUCUGAGCCUCUGUCUCCCUAAAUGGGGCCGUAAACCUGUCAAUCACAGACAGCCAGGACCCGGCCUGCACCAGGGAUCAGGCAGAGCCUGCCAUCUCCAGUUCUACUGGCAGAAGAUCAAGCAGGAUUUUGAUAGAGCGGCCUAGAUCUGACGUCAGCCUGAGGAGCAGGCUGGCCACGCACACAAGCUCCUGGCCCCUGGAAGCUUUUUCAGGGGUCCACUCUCGCCCUGUAGAGCGUAAUUCCUUUCCGACCUUUAAUAAAUGUAAAACCUG